RNAcentral lists this ribosomal RNA (164 nucleotides) under uncultured bacterium. Its description in RNAcentral is "partial 16S rRNA". It matches the Rfam family "Bacterial small subunit ribosomal RNA", at positions 355 to 511 of the family's 1533-position model. The record is from RNAcentral.
UAGGGAAUCUUCCACAAUGGACGAAAGUCUGAUGGAGCAACGCCGCGUGAGUGAAGAAGGGCUUCGGCUCGUAAAACUCUGUUGUUAAAGAAGAACAUAUCUGAGAGUAACUGUUCAGGUAUUGACAGUAUUUAACCAGAAAGCCACGGCUAACUACGUGGCAG